UGGGAAAUUCUUCCUCACAUCUGACCCAAAGCCUUUAGACUAUAGCUUAAACUCCUUCUCUCAUGUUAUAUCCUCAUUGGAGAUGGAGAACAGAUAGUUAGUUAGUAGUAGUCUCUCGGUAACCGAGGAUGACGAUUGUCUUUGUGUGCUUUCAUCUGUGAUGUAGAUAUGUGUGCACAAAGAUACUUGUGUGUGAAAGAGAUUUAAGUGGAAAAGUCGAUGCACAGAGACAGUCCCACUCUCUCGGCAUUGGAAGCCUGGGUCCAGUGGCACGAAAAGUCAUUACGCCUGGAGAUGUCCUCAGCUGCAUUGGAUGGCCGUGUUGUCUUUUGUGCUCCAACAUGCCCUAAGUACUCCACAGGGCUUUGCUGCGUCGCCCUCUCAGACGUUGAACCUUCUUAUUGGUUUCUUCUGUCUGUUCAGUCGAAACAGUCUUCACAUGCUGGAAAUUAUCCAUCUCCUGCUCCAAGGUCGAACAUGGGCUGUCUCAAAGGAAGGCUGUACUGAAAUGGGAAAUUCACUAUUCUGCCAAAAGGUCUAGAUGAGAAAAGAAGGAAAAAAGACUUCACUAAAAGACCCCCAGCCGCUUUCUGUCAUGCCCAGCAUAGGGAGACUCUGAGUGAGUCUUUCAAGCCUUACCUUCCUAACCCAGACAGCCAUUCAGGCUGCUUGUAGCUGGCAAGUGAGAGGCAGCCUGUGGGGAAGAAAGGGCUAAUUCCAGCAGCUACUCUGAAAAGACUAGAGCUUCACAGCCUUGCCACCAGCCCAUAAACCCCUCGGCCCAUCAGCAUCCUUGUUUGCCAUGGUAAAGCAGUUACUUUUGUUAUUCCCUUUAUCCACACAGCCCUCAAACUGUACAACAGAUACUUGCUUUUUGUGGUAUCCUUUGAUUCUCUAGACUAUUUCUUUUUGUUUUUAAGCCCUUACUUUCCAUCUUAGGAUCAAAACUGUGUAUUGGUUCUAAGGCAGAAGAGUGUUAAGGGUUAGGCAAUGGGGGUUAAGUGACUUGCCCAGAGUCACACAGUUAGGAAGAGGCUGAGGCCACAUUUAAACCCA
RNAcentral lists this long non-coding RNA (1056 nucleotides) under Monodelphis domestica (gray short-tailed opossum). RNAcentral's name for it is "lncRNA (ENSMODG00000045516.1)". The record is from RNAcentral. Lineage: Eukaryota; Metazoa; Chordata; Mammalia; Didelphimorphia; Didelphidae.